Molecule: ribosomal RNA, 496 nt
Filed under: Morganella morganii
Lineage: Bacteria; Pseudomonadati; Pseudomonadota; Gammaproteobacteria; Enterobacterales; Morganellaceae
Description: bacterial SSU rRNA
Rfam family: Bacterial small subunit ribosomal RNA
Source: RNAcentral
UUAGAGUUUGAUCCUGGCUCAGAUUGAACGCUGGCGGCAGGCCUAACACAUGCAAGUCGGGCGGUAACAGGGAGAAGCUUGCUUCUCUGCUGACGAGCGGCGGACGGGUGAGUAAUGUAUGGGGAUCUGCCUGAUGGCGGGGGAUAACUACUGGAAACGGUAGCUAAUACCGCAUAAUGUCUUCGGACCAAAGCGGGGGACCUCCGGGCCUCGCGCCAUCAGAUGAACCCAUAUGGGAUUAGCUAGUAGGUGAGGUAACGGCUUACCUAGGCGACGAUCCCUAGCUGGUCUGAGAGGAUGAUCAGCCACACUGGGACUGAGACACGGCCCAGACUCCUACGGGAGGCAGCAGUGGGGAAUAUUGCACAAUGGGCGCAAGCCUGAUGCAGCCAUGCCGCGUGUAUGAAGAAGGCCUUCGGGUUGUAAAGUACUUUCAGUCGGGAGGAAGGUGUCAAGGUUAAUAACCUUGGCAAUUGACGUUACCGACAGAAGAAGC